GGGGGGGGGGGGGGGGGGGGGGGGGGGGGGGGGGGGGGGGGGGGGGGGGGGAGGGGCGUGCGGUUACGGGGGGCGGGUGGCGGGCGGGGGGGGAGGGCGGCGGGAUCUACGUUUUCGGGGGGGAUAACGUAGGGGAACUGACGAUAAUCCCGCAUACGGCCUACGGGUGAAAGCCGGGGAUCUUCGGACCUUGCGCGAUUGAAUGAGCCGAUGUCGGAUUCGCUAGUUGGCGGGGUAAAGGCCCACCAAGGCGACGAUCCGUAGCUGGUCUGAGAGGAUGAUCAGCCACACUUGAACUGAGACACGGUCCAGACUCCUACGGGAGGCAGCAGUGGGGAAUAUUGGACAAUGGGCGCAAGCCUGAUCCAGCCAUACCGCGUGGGUGAAGAAGGCCUUCGGGUUGUAAAGCCCUUUUGUUGGGAAAGAAAAGCAGCAGGUUAAUACCCCGCUGUUCUGACGGUACCCAAAGAAUAAGCACCGGCUAACUUCGUG
Molecule: ribosomal RNA, 492 nt
Filed under: uncultured bacterium
Lineage: Bacteria
Description: partial 16S ribosomal RNA
Rfam family: Bacterial small subunit ribosomal RNA
Source: RNAcentral